This 210-nucleotide ribosomal RNA is filed under the name Denticetopsis epa. RNAcentral describes it as "partial small subunit ribosomal RNA". The record is from RNAcentral. Lineage: Eukaryota; Metazoa; Chordata; Actinopteri; Siluriformes; Cetopsidae.
GUGCCAGCCACCGCGGUUAUACGAAAGACCCUAACUGAUAGAGACGGCAUAAAGGGUGGUUAAGGAAAACAAAAACAAUAAAGUUAAAAACUUUCUAGGCCGUUAUACGUAUUUUGAAAGCAUGAAACCCUUCCACGAAAGUAACUUUAAUCAUACUAAGCCUGACUCCACGAAAACUAAGAAACAAACUAGGAUUAGAUACCCCACUAU